CCCAGCCCGGUGCCGCGGCUCGGCGCGGCCCCCCAGCCAGCGCCCCCACCCGGAGCCGAUUACCUGCAAUGAUGAAAUGAAGUAACUCAAGAUGAGCAAGUUAAAAGUGGUAUCAGAGAAAAGCCUUACCAAUAAUUCUUGGAUUGUGGGACUCCUGUCUCAGCUGGAGAAGAUAAACACUGAAUCAGCAGAAUCGGAUACUGCCAGAUAUGUCACAUCAAAGAUUCUUCAUCUUGCUCAAAGUCAAGGAACACCUAGAUGAAUGCCACCCCUACAUAAGAAUUUGGAUAGCACUGUACGAAAGAUGUGUUGAAGCUGGUUUUGGUCAGGAAACAUGAAAACUGUUAAUAGCUCCUGAGACCAAGAACCCAGAACUCUUCAGAAGACAAGCGUGAAAAGUUAUAUUCUUUCCUUUUGGAGUUCCUUCAGGCAGGAAAGUGUAAUCAAUAGCUCAAUAAAUUAUCCUGUGACAAUUGAAGAGUAUCUAAAGUUGAGAAAGUUGGAUGAGCAAGAUUAAUUUCCUUCGCAUUGUUGUUAGCAAAACCUCCCACCCACUAUGAAGCUUCCAUCACAAUCAAGAGGGGUUACUUGCUGCCACCUCCUUUUGGACACUACACUUAAUAGAUGGUCCAUGAGUGACAAACUUUUUUACUGCCUCAUCUGGUAUUUCUCUGAAUGGAAGAAUAUGAGUUCAAGGUGGAGAGUCACAGAGAGGCAGAGGCAGAGAGAGAGAAGUCUUCACUCCCCAAAUGGCCACAAUGGCCAGAGCUGUGUCAAUCUGAAGCCAGGAACCAGGAGAUUCUUCCAGGUCUCCCACAUGCAUGCAGAGGCCCAAGGACUUCAAGGCUCAUUCUUGUGGUAGCAUUCAUCAAUGUUCCCUUUUUAUGGCUGAAUUAUGGGUCAUUAUUAGACUCUAUCAAAUUAAAUGUACAACAGGCCCGCUAUUUCAGACCAUAGCAAAUUGCUGGGGAAAAGCAGAACUCCUGAAAGAUUACCUGCAAUGAUGAAAUGAAGUAACUCAAGAUGAGCAAGUUAAAAGUGGUAUCAGAGAAAAGCUUUACCAAUAAUUCUCAGAUUGCGGGACUCCUGGCUCAACUGGAGAAGAUAAACAGUGAAUCAGCAUAAUCAGAUACUGCCAGAUAUGUCACAUCAAAGAUUCCUCAUCUUGCUCAAAGUCAAGGUGACUCCAAAAUUGAAAGCCACUGCUCUAAAGCAGAGAAUGCCAAGCUUAUUAAGUGAAGGGCCAGAUAGCAUUUGUGUUGGGUUUUGUGGGCCAUAUAGCCUUUGUCACAUUUACUGCACUCUACCCUGUAGCACAGAAACAGCCAUAGAUGACCAUAAAUGGACAGGUAUGGCUGUGUUGCUAUAGACUUUAUUAAUGGACACUGAAAAAAAUAUCAUGUGGAACAUAAUGGUUCAUUGGUGGAAGUAUAUGAAUUGUCCUGGAGGCCUACAUGUAAUAUAUUGAAUAAAAAGCAAGUCCCUUUGGUUCAUGUAACUCUGUAUGUAUAGUCUUGUUUUUGUACAGAAUCAGUAAUUAUAUGUGAUGUUUGCAGGAACAUGCCGUGCCCACACACAUAAAGGAAAGCUACCUUACACCUUGUUGGCAAUAUUGUUGCCUCUCCUUUCCUACAUGUGUAACUCUGAGUUUCAAAUAAAUGAAUAAAUAAAUCUUAAAAAAAAGGACUUGAGGCGGCAAGAUGGCGGAAUAGGCAGGGAGCACACUUAGUCCGGGGGGAGAGAAAGUUUAAUAUAAGUGGAGAUACUGCAGGGUCAAGGAAGAGUAGGGGAUGAAACAGCAGAGGAAACUCUUCCGGAACUAGUGAUUCACAGUGGACCUGCGUGGAGAGCGUGGGAGCCCAAGUUCGGGACACCAGUGGCAGACUCAACGAACCAGCACUGGAACGCGAGGUGAGCCGAACCUCCAUAGCUGGAGACACCAGCAGGCAAGUGGAAAGAGGAGGCUAGAGGGAACGAGGCUUGAAACUCCGUGGGGAAAAGUUCACCAGGCUAACUAGAAGAGAGAGAAAAAAAAUAAAAAAAGUGACUGAUACGGACACAAGUUUCUCUCUCUCCGCUCACCUCUCAAAGGCGAGCAAGACAGAGCAG
Long non-coding RNA from Lepus europaeus (European hare), 2109 nucleotides. RefSeq lists it as uncharacterized. The record is from RefSeq and is a predicted model, not a curated record. Lineage: Eukaryota; Metazoa; Chordata; Mammalia; Lagomorpha; Leporidae. The transcript has 9 exons.